UGCGGGAUGCAGCCGAAUCCCAUUAGUAAACAAAAAUGGGUACGGAGGAACCAUGUUUUGGGGUGAAUCCCAGUUCAGUUGAACUGGGUAGGUUUUGUCUUUUUACCGAACCCGUCAGCUAACUCCGGAGGCACAAAAAGAAAGGGGUA
Molecule: small RNA, 149 nt
Filed under: Peptococcaceae bacterium
Lineage: Bacteria; Bacillati; Bacillota; Clostridia; Eubacteriales; Peptococcaceae
Description: c-di-AMP sequence
Rfam family: c-di-AMP riboswitch aptamer (ydaO/yuaA leader)
About the family: This family represents a conserved RNA structure found upstream of the ydaO and yuaA genes in Bacillus subtilis and related genes in other bacteria. The ydaO/yuaA element is thought to act as a genetic "off" switch for the ydaO and yuaA genes in its native state.
Source: RNAcentral